RNAcentral lists this ribosomal RNA (300 nucleotides) under uncultured Comamonadaceae bacterium. Its description in RNAcentral is "bacterial SSU rRNA". It matches the Rfam family "Bacterial small subunit ribosomal RNA", at positions 115 to 417 of the family's 1533-position model. The record is from RNAcentral. Lineage: Bacteria; Pseudomonadati; Pseudomonadota; Betaproteobacteria; Burkholderiales; Comamonadaceae.
ACAUCGGAACGGUGCCCAGUAGUGGGGAAUAGGCCCGGCGAAAGCCGGAUUAAUACCGCAUACGACCUACGGUGAAAGCAGGGGAUCGACAAGUACCUUGCGAAAUUGGAGCGGCCGAUGUCAGAUUAGGUAGUUGUGGGUAAAGCCUACCAAGCCUACGAUCUGUAGCUGGUCUGAGAGGACGACCAGCCACACUGGAACUGAGACACGGUCCAGACUCCUACGGGAGGCAGCAGUGGGGAAUAUUGCACAAUUGGGCGCAAGCCUGAUGCAGCCAUGCCGCGUGUGUGAAGAAGGCCU